GACGAACGCUGGCGGCGUGCCUAACACAUGCAAGUCGAGCGGAGUCGAUCGACGGAAGCCUUCGGGCGGAAGAUGGUUGACUUAGCGGCGGAUGGGUGAGUAACGCGUGGGCAACCUGCCUCGAAGACCGGGAUAACAGACCGAAAGGGCUGCUAAUACCGGAUGUGGUCAAGGAUCCGCAUGGAUCUUUGAUUAAAGGGGAAACCCGUUUCGAGAUGGGCCCGCGUCCUAUCAGCUAGUUGGUGAGGUAAAAGCUCACCAAGGCGACGACGGGUAGCCGGCCUGAGAGGGUGACCGGCCACACUGGAACUGAGACACGGUCUAGACUCCUACGGGGGCAGCAGUGGGGAAUCUUCCACAAUGGGCAAAGCCUGAUGGAGCGACGCCGCGUGAGCGAAGAAGGCCUUCGGGUUGUAAAGGACUCUGUCUGGAGGGACGAAGGAAGUGACGGUACCUCCGGAGGAAGCCACGGCUAACUACGUG
Molecule: ribosomal RNA, 483 nt
Filed under: uncultured bacterium
Lineage: Bacteria
Description: bacterial SSU rRNA
Rfam family: Bacterial small subunit ribosomal RNA
Source: RNAcentral